Molecule: non-coding RNA, 46 nt
Organism: Erinaceus europaeus (western European hedgehog)
Lineage: Eukaryota; Metazoa; Chordata; Mammalia; Eulipotyphla; Erinaceidae
Source: Rfam
CAAAAGGCUCUUUUCAGGGCCACCAUCUUCUCAGAAAAAGGGCUGU